AUUCCAAUGCUGAUCCGAGCCAACAACGAAAUGUUAAAGUUUGAGAAUAAUUGCGGCCAUGUGUAAAUUGUUUGUGGGCAUGGAUGUGUGUGUUUUAGUGGAAGUGGAAGCGUGGAAUGCGGCCUGAGUCA
Molecule: small nucleolar RNA, 131 nt
Filed under: Drosophila ananassae
Lineage: Eukaryota; Metazoa; Arthropoda; Insecta; Diptera; Drosophilidae
Description: snoRNA:GF26139
Source: RNAcentral